GAACUGGCCAUCUUGAAGGAUUCCUUCUCCAUAUAUACACACACGUAUAACCUCACGGACAACAGCUUACAUACCAUCUGCAGGAUAUUUGAUUUAACUGGUUCUUCUUUUUACUGCAACAGACAACAAGUUGACAUUUCAGAAGAAGCUGAUCGGAUUCUCUGGGGUUCCAAUCUGCUGCAUCAACUGGAUCUAACAUCUCUUCCACGCCACUCUCACCAGAUGUCAGACUGACCAAGUUCUUCACACUGCAGCCGGUUCAAAAGGGAAUAGUAAUACCUGCAAGGAACUGGAUCCCGUUUUAUCCUAUGACGAGGUGAACUACACUGCACCUGCA
Long non-coding RNA from Haliotis rubra (blacklip abalone), 337 nucleotides. RefSeq lists it as uncharacterized. The transcript has 3 exons. The record is from RefSeq and is a predicted model, not a curated record. NCBI's taxonomy places the organism in Eukaryota, Metazoa, Mollusca, Gastropoda, Lepetellida, Haliotidae.